RNAcentral lists this small nuclear RNA (20 nucleotides) under Arabidopsis thaliana (thale cress). RNAcentral's name for it is "snRNA_10955". Lineage: Eukaryota; Viridiplantae; Streptophyta; Magnoliopsida; Brassicales; Brassicaceae. The record is from RNAcentral.
AUAAACACAAGAUAUCUCAC